CAUUUGCAUGUGGAACUGUGGGCACCGGCCUUUGCCCCCUGCAGAGCUUGAGGUUUUUUUGUUUUUGUUUUCGUUUUUUCCUUCGGAUGACAAGAAAAAGCAAGAGUAUUCUCUUCCCUUUUGCGAUUUCUAUAUUAUUAGCCUGUCCUCCAAGCCUGCUCCAUGUGUCCCCGUGAACUCUGUCUUCCCCGGUUUAUUUGUUCUGUGUUCUGAUAUGAAGUAUUACAGGUUAUGAAAAAUUCCCAUCUUAGCUUUCUGACUAGUGAUACUGAUGGUUGUGGUUUUGCUUGGUGUUUUGUUUUUUUCCUUCCUCGGUCCCAUCUCUUUGCAGUUACUUUGUAUCCCAUUUCGCAGAAUAGAGAAAUGAAAUAAACUCUUGACCAAGUAUUCCUUUUCUUCCAAAAGACAUGGUCUUUCAAUAUUGUUAGGACACUUGCUAUAAACUGAGUGUAAAGUUGGGGAAAGUGCAAGUGAAUUUUUUUCUUCAUUUAGAUCUAAUUGGUGCCCC
RNAcentral lists this long non-coding RNA (508 nucleotides) under Marmota monax (woodchuck). The record is from RNAcentral. Lineage: Eukaryota; Metazoa; Chordata; Mammalia; Rodentia; Sciuridae.